GCGCUUUAAAAUUAGUCUAGUCGCGCUGGCCGCACGGACUUCUGCUCUGAUAAGCAAUGACAAACGGGUGCCCCUUGUGUCGGAAUCCGCCCGGUAGGGGGGGAUAACGUUUCGAAAGCAAAGCUAAUACCGCCUACGCCCUACUGGAGAAAGUGGGGGAUCGCCGUACCUCGCCCUACCUCCCAGCCUAUGUCGGAUUAGCUAGUUGGUGGGGUAACGGCUCACCAAGGCGACGAUCCGUAUCUGGUUUGAGAGGACGACCAGCCACACUGGGACUGAGACUCGGCCCAGACUCCUACGGGAGGCAGCAGUGGGGAAUUUUGGACAAUGGGGGAAACCCUGAUCCAGCCAUGCCGCGUGUGCGACGAAGGCCUUCGGGUUGUAAAGCACUUUUGGCUGGAAGGAAAGGCACCGGGUUAAUACCCCGGGGAUUUGACGUUACCUGCAGAAUAAGCACCGGCUAACUACGUGCCAGCAGCCGCGGUAAUACGAAGGGUGCAAGCGUUAAUCGGAAUUACUGGGCGUAAAGCGUGCGCAGGCGGUUCGGAAAGAAGGAUGUGAAAUCCCAGAGCUCACUUGGGAACUGCAUCUUUAACUGCCGAUCUAGAGUGUGGGCAGAGGGGAGGUGGGAAUUUCGUGUGUAGUGUGAAAUGCUUAUAUAUGAGGAGGAACACCAUGGCGAAAGGCGCCUCCUGGGGAUAACACUUGACACUGAGGACGAAAGCGUGGGAGCAAACAGGGAUUAGAUACCCUUGGAAUUCCACACCC
Molecule: ribosomal RNA, 768 nt
Filed under: Achromobacter xylosoxidans
Lineage: Bacteria; Pseudomonadati; Pseudomonadota; Betaproteobacteria; Burkholderiales; Alcaligenaceae
Description: bacterial SSU rRNA
Rfam family: Bacterial small subunit ribosomal RNA
Source: RNAcentral